Mastomys coucha (southern multimammate mouse) is the source of this 217-nucleotide long non-coding RNA. RefSeq lists it as uncharacterized. The record is from RefSeq and is a predicted model, not a curated record. The transcript has 2 exons. NCBI's taxonomy places the organism in Eukaryota, Metazoa, Chordata, Mammalia, Rodentia, Muridae.
GGGAGCAGCAGAGCCAAAGGAAAGGAAACCUAGGUUAAGACGUCAGUAGGGUGUUUCAUCAUAGUGACAGAACAAAUAGGAAACACACCUGUAUUAUUUUUAGUCUCUGAUGAUGAUGAAUGGCACCACUAUGAGCUCUCAUCUAUAAGCUCCCGUGUGAAGACUCAGCUAUACUGGACCAGGUUGCUAAUAAAGGGACUUCUAGGUCAUAUGGAAA